This 253-nucleotide ribosomal RNA is filed under the name uncultured bacterium. Its description in RNAcentral is "partial 16S ribosomal RNA". It matches the Rfam family "Bacterial small subunit ribosomal RNA", at positions 524 to 776 of the family's 1533-position model. The record is from RNAcentral.
UACGGGGGGUGCGAGCGUUGUCCGGAAUCACUGGGCGUAAAGGGCGCGUAGGUGGUCUGAUAAGGGUGUGGUGAAAGCCCGGGGCUCAACCCCGGGUCGGCCGUGCCGACUGUUAGACUAGGGUGCUGUAGGGGCAGGCGGAAUUCCGGGUGUAGCGGUGGAAUGCGUAGAGAUCCGGAGGAAGACCGGUGGCGAAGGCGGCCUGCUGGGCAGUUACUGACACUGAGGCGCGACAGCGUGGGGAGCAAACAGG